Long non-coding RNA from Haplochromis burtoni (Burton's mouthbrooder), 1147 nucleotides. RefSeq lists it as uncharacterized. Lineage: Eukaryota; Metazoa; Chordata; Actinopteri; Cichliformes; Cichlidae. The transcript has 6 exons. The record is from RefSeq and is a predicted model, not a curated record.
ACACUCCUGUGAGACUUUCCAGCUUUGUGAUGAAUAAAGAACAUCUUAUACAGUGACAUCACAUCCUGUCAUUGUGUGUGUCUGACGGUGGUGAAACUGCAGUGACCUGUUUACUGUGAUGACACUUCGCAGCACUGUCUCUCCUCAGUCCUGCAGAACGACUUUAUUCCUGGCCAACAUGAAGCUGCUGCCUCUCAUCUGCCUCAGCGUCUCCGUCACCGCUGGAAUACACCUGGUUCAGUCUCCUCCUCGUGUGACUGUGAUGUCAGGGUCAAAGGUCAGCCUCAAAUGUAACAUCACUGGGACUGGUGAAACACAUGGCUGCUCUCGAGUGACAUGGCUCCAUAUCAGGCAGGUGAGCGGUCUCAGUGCCACUCCUUGGUUUAAUUCUCGAGUUCAGAGCAGGCUCUGUCUGCUGGAAGUCCCCAGAGCCACCCAGCAGGACGCCGGCAUGUACUUCUGUGUCUACAUCGAUGGGGUCAUGCCAGUGCUGGGCAGCGGGACAACGGUGACGGUCACAGAAUCAGAGCUCCACAGUCCUGCACUUGAUCUCUUGGCUCCUUUACACGUCAGCUCGCCCCUCCCCGUCCCGUUGAUCUGCCUGGCGUCCGGGCUGAACGACACCGGUCGGGUCAAAGUCGACUGGGAGGUGGACUCUGAGGAGGAUGUGCUUAAGGAACUCAGUCCCACAAUCCUCCCUGACACCAGGGCGGGAGUCUUCAGCUCGCAGGUUUAUGUUCCUGCAGAAACCUGGUCUGCAGGUGUGAACGUGUCCUGUGUGCUGAGUGAUGGAGAGCUGAGGAUCAGGAAGACCAUCAGCAGCAGGACAGAUGAGGUCAAACCAUCCAGUCAGUGUGUGUUUCUGACCUCCAUCAUUGGCACUGCAUGUGCCGCCUUUUUUACCUCCACCGUGGCACUCUGCGCCCUGCUGUGGCGCCGACACAAAAAAACGCCAAAGAUCAGUGACGAGACGUCUCCGGAGCUUCAUUAUGCUGCUCUGAGGUUUUCAGCUUCAGGUGGAAGAAACAUCAGAUGACUGAAGCUGCUGCGAUUCGUCGAACACAGUUUUCACCGAGCCGAGGACGCAAAGAAAUGCCAACAAAUCUGAUUGGCUGAAGAUAGAUAGAUAGAUAGAUAGAUAGAUAGA